This is an RNA transcript of Panicum virgatum (switchgrass), 1746 nucleotides long. RefSeq lists it as uncharacterized. The transcript is spliced from 3 exons. NCBI's taxonomy places the organism in Eukaryota, Viridiplantae, Streptophyta, Magnoliopsida, Poales, Poaceae. The record is from RefSeq and is a predicted model, not a curated record.
GCAGGAAAUAUUUCCAUCCGUUCCCAACAGAGAGAGACGAGUCUGAAUCCCGCGAUCGUCCUGGACGCCGCCGCCGAGUCUGAGGAUGGCGCAAGUCCAAGGAUCACCUCCAUGGUCUGACCUCCCGCCAGAGCUCCUUGGCCUGGUGUUCCUAUGCCUCCCUACCCGUGCUGACAGAGCCUUCUUUCCUGUCGUUUGCUGCACAUGGUGCUCCGCGGCUCGGCAGUGCCGCCUGCCCACGCCAUCACCAGUGCCAUGGCUCGUGCUACCAGGCGGCAACGUCAUCAGCUUCCCUCAUGGCGAAACCUUCCAGCUGCCUGAGGGCGUGCGCUGCCACAACUCUUGUGGCGAGUGGCUUCUCUUGUCGCGGGAUGAUGGCAGCUGCUUCUUGAUGAACCCAUUCACCAAGGCCACCAUGCCGCUUCCCAGCUUGUCCUCAUACAGCUUCUACGAAGAGCCUGUCGAAGUCCCCGAAGAUUGUAUGGUCCCAGACCAUGAGAUGCAAGGCACGUGGAUGUACAACAAGGACAUAGAAGAAGUAUCCGUGCUUGCACUAGUUGUGUGCUCCACACGCCUCAUUGCUGCCAUAGUCGCUGUUGGGGCUCUUGGUACAAUUGCACUAUGCCGGCCAGGGGCUGCUGCAUGGUCAGUGAGUGCACACGAAGAGUGCAGGUGGCUCUCGCACACGGUCUUCUUUCAAGGGAAGCUCUACGCUUUUGACAACAACACUGACCCUGAGGAUCUUAUCGCCAUUGACAUUGUUGAUGAUGAUGACUGUCACGAGCCAAGGGUGUCUAGAAUUGAGCGCCUCAUUGAAGGUGCCUCCUUGCCACCCCAAAAAUAUUUUCGCUGCCAGUGCUACCUCCUUGAAUCACAUGGCACUACUAAUGGUCCACAGAAAGCUUUACUACAAAGCAGAGCUCCCGCCUGAAAAUGGCGGCAUUCUUGUGGCUGGUAGCAGCGAGUUUGAAGUGUUUGAGGCUGACUUUGAGGAGGGCUUGUGGUCUGAGGUGAGGACUUUGGGGAAUGACCGAGCGUUAUUCCUUGGGCGAGGAUGCUCGAGAGCUAUCUGUGUGCCUCCAUACGAUCUUUUAUGGGACUGUCUCUUCUUCCUAGAUGAUUACACCGACUGGAUUUGGAAGAAAACAACUACAUCCUGCGGAGUGUAUGACAUGAAAGAUGAGAAGGUCUAUUCGCCCUUGCCUAUGGCAUCUUGGAAGAGUGGAGAUGUCCUAGUAACCUGGCUUUUCUCACAAGGUGAGACAUAUAAGUUGCAAGCAGCAGGGGAGCAUCUGCAGGAAAUUGUGGAACCUGAACAAGAUGAUCCUCAGACGCUUGACUGUGGAGGGACUUGUGCUGCCGGUGCUGAUACUGCUCAGGGAAACUGCUAGGAAGGGUUGGCUAAAGAAAUCUUCACAAAUGCUCUACAACAGUACUCAGGCACGCUUGGAUACCACUAGCUAGGAGCUGCGUGAAAACAAUGCCUGGUCUGUUGUUGCCUUAUACUUGUAUCUUCAUGUCUACGGUGUCGCUUCAAACACUCCUUUCUAAUGAAAAGUGCUCUUUAUUACAUUUGGUAUGGGUGACUGCUAGCGAGUGGAGAUUAUGCCCGCUGAGGUAUGAUUUGUGCGCUUUUGAAACUCAAUAGGAGCUUCGCCGCCUGUCUAGUUUUAUAACCGUGUUGCAAAGUUUGGAAUUGAUGUGCAAUACAUUCAGCAUGUUAAUUUGGUAGUGGUUUGUAUUAUU